UUAAUUUUUAAAUUAAAUUAAAUUUUAAUGAAAACUUUUUGUUAUUUUGGACAAAAAGUUUGAAAUAAGCAAACUUGAAAUCAGAGAAAUUGAUGUAAGUACAACAGAUUUGUUCAGUGAUCAUGUGCUCAGCGAUCACCUCCGCUAACCAUAUUCUUCUUCUCUUCUCGACUUUUUUCAAUUUUCCUUGAUUAGAGACCAUCAUUGCCAUGGCUGACGCGACGCUAGCAGGAGGUUCAUUUAUCUCUCUGCUUUCCUCUCAGUUUUGUUUGCUACGCUAUCAUUUCAUGAGGUUCUGAAAUUUCCCUAAUCCUCUGAAUUUCUUUUCACUUUCCUGGUAGGGAAAAAAAUGAUCACCUGUAAGAACUUCUGUCUUCAAGUUUGGCGCAAGAGGGGCACAAUAUACAAACGUGACAAUGCUCUCAAUUUGGUGGAUAUUGUGUGUUUCAUCGAAGAUGUGUUCUACAGCCAUUUACCUCAACCAUUUGGGUAUUGGAAUAGGAUCAACUUCGCAGCUUCACAUAAUAAAAAAAGAUAAAAAGAGAAAAAAAAAAAAAA
This 558-nucleotide unclassified non-coding RNA is filed under the name Hevea brasiliensis (rubber tree). The record is from RNAcentral. Lineage: Eukaryota; Viridiplantae; Streptophyta; Magnoliopsida; Malpighiales; Euphorbiaceae.